GUGGCAAUAGCUCAGUGGUAGAGCCCCGCUUCGCGUGGGGGGAGACCCGGGUUCGGUUCCCGGCUGCUUCC
Molecule: transfer RNA, 71 nt
Filed under: Toxocara canis (dog roundworm)
Lineage: Eukaryota; Metazoa; Nematoda; Chromadorea; Rhabditida; Toxocaridae
Rfam family: tRNA
About the family: Transfer RNA (tRNA) molecules are approximately 80 nucleotides in length.
Source: Rfam by way of RNAcentral